ACUCCUACGGGAGGCAGCAGUGAGGAAUAUUGCACAAUGGGGGAAACCCUGAUGCAGCGACGCAGCGUGCGGGAUGACGGCCUUCGGGUUGUAAACCGCUUUCAGCAGGGAAGAAGCGCAAGUGACGGUACCUGCAGAAGAAGUACCGGCUAACUACGUGCCAGCAGCCGCGGUAAUACGUAGGGUACGAGCGUUGUCCGGAAUUAUUGGGCGUAAAGAGCUCGUAGGUGGUUGGUCACGUCUGCUGUGGAAACGCAACGCUUAACGUUGCGCGUGCAGUGGGUACGGGCUGACUAGAGUGCAGUAGGGGAGUCUGGAAUUCCAGGUGUAGCGGUGAAAUGCGUAGAGAUCUGAAGGAAUACCAGUGGCGAAGGCGGCCCCUGGACAAAGACUGACGCUCAGAUGCGAAAGCGUGGGGAGCAAACAGGAUUAGAUACCCUGGUAGACUGUC
Molecule: ribosomal RNA, 451 nt
Filed under: uncultured bacterium
Lineage: Bacteria
Description: bacterial SSU rRNA
Rfam family: Bacterial small subunit ribosomal RNA
Source: RNAcentral